CACCGGAAAGAGGAGAAGAUGAAGAG
Molecule: non-coding RNA, 26 nt
Filed under: Cricetulus griseus (Chinese hamster)
Lineage: Eukaryota; Metazoa; Chordata; Mammalia; Rodentia; Cricetidae
Also listed under: 1 other name
Source: RNAcentral